This 396-nucleotide ribosomal RNA is filed under the name uncultured bacterium. Its description in RNAcentral is "partial 16S ribosomal RNA". It matches the Rfam family "Bacterial small subunit ribosomal RNA", at positions 338 to 730 of the family's 1533-position model. The record is from RNAcentral.
CCUACGGGUGGCAGCAGUGAGGAAUAUUGGUCAAUGGGCGGGAGCCUGAACCAGCCAAGCCGCGUGAGGGAAGAAGGUACCGCGUAUCGUAAACCUCUUUUGUCAGGGAACAAAGUCAGGCACUCGUCCCCGGCUGAGGGUACCUGAAGAAAAAGCAUCGGCUAACUCCGUGCCAGCAGCCGCGGUAAUACGGAGGAUGCGAGCGUUAUCCGGAUUUAUUGGGUUUAAAGGGUGCGUAGGCUGUGGGGUAAGUCAGCGGUGAAAUGCCCCGGCUCAACGGGGUGAAGUGCCAUUGAUACUGGCUGGCUGGAAUGGGGGAGAGGUGGGAGGAAUGUGUGGUGUAGCGGUGAAAUGCAUAGAUAUCACACAGAACACCGAUUGCGAAGGCAUCUCACG